Daucus carota subsp. sativus is the source of this 954-nucleotide long non-coding RNA. RefSeq lists it as uncharacterized. NCBI's taxonomy places the organism in Eukaryota, Viridiplantae, Streptophyta, Magnoliopsida, Apiales, Apiaceae. The record is from RefSeq and is a predicted model, not a curated record. The transcript is spliced from 2 exons.
AAAUAAAAAACAAUAAAAACUCUGCCACAUAACUAAAAAGUCUACUUCUUCUCAUGGCAGAAGAAGUGGCUACCUGUAAAACAUCUUCUUCCCUUGCCCUUUCAUCCCUAGUUGGUUGCUCUAUGUGCAGUGCCUCGGCAGCCUGUCCUUGUUCUGGUGGUGGGGAGCGCAAUAGAGGGGAGGACCAAGGACUGGGAUGUGAUGCAAGUGAUGACCAGUAACAUCUAACAUGAGUGUGCAAAGGUAUGAAGCCCUGAAUCUGAGACUUGGUGAAUGAUCCAAAUAUUUGAGCUGGAGUCCCAAAACGAGGAAUCGACAUCUAUGAUAGAGGUGUAACUGGAAGGGUGCCAAACAAUGACAUUUCUGGACGGUACAAACCUGAGCCAUGGAAAUCCUGCUGUAAACUCAUGACAACUGCCAGCAUACUCAGGCGAGGCCAUAGCAAGAUUCGGGCUUUAAAAGAUGAACUCUUACAGGUGUGUACCGUCCAGAAAUGUCAUUGUUCGGCAACCCCCCAGUCACACCUCCAUCAUAGAUGCCAAUCCCUCGUUUUCGGACUCCAGCUCAUAUAAUUGGAUCACCUUCAUCCACAAUCAUCAAGACCCAUAUUUAGGGCUUCACACCUUUGCACACUCCUGUUAUUGGUAAUUGAUGAGUUUGCAUCACAUUCCGGUCCUUGGUCCUCCCAUAUAUUGCGCUCCCCACCACCAGAACAAAGACAGGCUGCCGAGGCACCGCAUAGAGAGCAGCCACCUAGGAUCAAAGAGCAAGGGAAGAAAUAUUUUACAGGCAGCCACUUCUUCAACCACAAGAAGUAGACUUUUUAUUUGUAGUUUGUGACAUUAUAUGUAUUAUAUUUUAGUUAUGUGGCAGAGUUUUUAUUGUUAUUUAUUUCAUUCGAACCAUUUGUAUUUAUGUUUAGUAGAGUUUGUAUUUAUAGGAAAUUUCAUACUA